Long non-coding RNA from Megalobrama amblycephala (Wuchang bream), 302 nucleotides. RefSeq lists it as uncharacterized. NCBI's taxonomy places the organism in Eukaryota, Metazoa, Chordata, Actinopteri, Cypriniformes, Xenocyprididae. The transcript has 3 exons. The record is from RefSeq and is a predicted model, not a curated record.
AAUGCACUUCUAUGAUUAUAGAAAAUGCAGCGUCUGAACAGGACUUUUAUUUUGGAGUGACGACAUGACGUCAUAAGACUGCGCCUCGAUCCUGCAUCUGCUGUGAUUCUGUUGAAGAAGGGUUUGUUUUAAAAAAUGGCAUUUAUUAAAGAUGAGACUGAAGAUAUGAAGAUUGAGUUUAUUAAAGAAGAGACUGAAGAUAUGAAGAUAAUUAUUAAAGAUGAGACUGAGGACAUGAAGAUUGAAGAUAUUGAGGAACAAACAGAGCUGAUGGAAGUGAAGCAGGAGAGUGAAGAACUGAG